GGUUUGAUUAGCUCAGAUUGAACGCUGGCGGGAUGCUUUACACAUGCAAGUCGAACGGCAGCACGGACUUCAGUCUGGUGGCGAGUGGCGAACGGGUGAGUAAUGUAUCGGAACGCGUGCCUGUGUAAGGGGAUAACUACGCCGAAAGCGUAGCUAAUACCGCAUACGCCCUUCGGGAAGAGCGGGGACCUUCGGGCCUCGCACUAUUAGAGCGGCCGAUAUCGGAUUAGC
RNAcentral lists this unclassified non-coding RNA (231 nucleotides) under uncultured Bordetella sp. RNAcentral describes it as "partial 16S-23S ribosomal RNA intergenic spacer". It matches the Rfam family "Bacterial small subunit ribosomal RNA", at positions 10 to 245 of the family's 1533-position model. The record is from RNAcentral. Lineage: Bacteria; Pseudomonadati; Pseudomonadota; Betaproteobacteria; Burkholderiales; Alcaligenaceae.